Molecule: long non-coding RNA, 1575 nt
Filed under: Ananas comosus (pineapple)
Lineage: Eukaryota; Viridiplantae; Streptophyta; Magnoliopsida; Poales; Bromeliaceae
Description: long non-coding RNA (ACOM_LNC005227)
Source: RNAcentral
AAUUUUGAAACUUAAAAUUUGAUAUUUAAAAAUAAAAAUUUAAAUUUAGUAUCUAAAUUUAGAAUUUAAAAUUUUAAAAAUUUAAAAUUUAAAAUUUAAAAUCUUAAAAUUGAAGACUUAAAAUUUAAAAAAAUUUAAAUAUAUAUAAUUGAUAGUCUCUGGCGUAAGUGGCAAAGGACUUGGUGGUGGGUACCCCAGGUCUCAAGUUCGAAUCCUAAUUAAUUCACAUUUUCAGCUAAGUUUAUUUCUAAAAAAAUAAAAGAAGCGCGUAGCAUGCUACCUUUCUCUCAAAAAUAUUUAAAAUUGAAUCUAAAAUAAAAUCAAAAUUUUAAAGUGUGAGUCCUAAAAAUUAGAUAUUUGUAUAUUUUAAAAUUUGAGUUUCUAAAAUUAGAUAUUUAUAUUAGUGGCAUUAUUUUUAUGUGCCAUGCACUAAUAAACAACUUAAAAUUAACAUUUAAUCUCUUUUAGCGGCAUGUUCCUAAUGACAAUUUACAUUGGCGGCAUUCAUUAUAAGUGCUGCUAAUAUUUUUAGCAAUUUUGACAUAGACAGUAUUUGGUAUCAUAUGCUAUUAAAACUUUUGACGACAUUCGUUGAUCUUUUAGCAGCAUAAAUAAAUGUUACUAAUGACUAAUUUUCUAGUAGUGCCCCUUUUAGGUUGUCAUUUUGAUCCUUGUGAGGCUGGAGCACGCAGAGAGUAUGAUGAUGAUGAUCACGUCGUCGGGGUGGACUCUACACUCCUGCAUGUGAUAAAAGAGGGAAAUGAAAUUAUUGGUGGGGGAGAGGGAGAAAAGAAAAGAAGAAGAAGAUUGGGAAGAUGAAAGAAUAGCGAAAAAAGAGAAAAAAAAACAAAGAAAUAUGUUACACAAUUUAAAAUAAAAGAAAAUAAAGAUCUAUUGCACUAUUAUAAUUACUAGUGAAGAGGCUCGUGCUGUGCAGCGGGUAGAAACUGUAGUAGUAAUUAAUAAUAAUAAAAUAUUAAAUAUUUUUUUGUAUAUCUCAUUUGGUACAUCUACCGAAAGUCUCUCACUGUAGGCAGCAGAUAUAAACCCAACGAUGGAGAGACGAUGGAGAGAGAGAGAGAGAGAGAGUAAAAUGACUUAUUCUAAAUAAAAAUUAAAUGGGAGAAAUGAAGAGACGUAUGUUGAGAGAGAGAAUAAAAUGGGGAAGAUGAGGAGAUGUAUGUUGAAAAAGAGAGAGUAAAAUGGCUCAUUCUAAAUAAAAAUUAAAUGGGGGAGAUGAAGAGAUGUAUGUUGAGAGAAAGAGAGUAAAAUGGCUCAUUCUAAAUAAAAAUUAAAUGAUGGAGAUGAAAAGACGUAAAUUGAGAGAGAGAAUAAAAUGGCUCAUUCUAAAUAAAAUUUUUUUUCAAAAUUAGGAGGUUAUGACACAUCAGCUUAAAGCAUUGGGAAUUCAUAAAGAGUAAUAGAUACUAGUGUAGAAGCCCGCGCGAUGCGACGAAUAGGAAUUGUCAUAAUGAAAUUUAUGAAUAAUAUAAACAAACAAAAACAAAUUUAUCAUACUAAAAAUUUACAAUUUAAAUAAAUAAACAAAAAUAUAAAUAAGAAACAAUAGAAUAU